CAUUAUCGUACAACGGAGGUGUAAGGGCUGUCGCUGACCUUCAAAGGUUGUGCACGCCCGAGCCCUCUCACACCAAUCCAUCUCACCCUUUUGUGCAUCACCGCGUGGGUCCCCCCGUUGCCGGGGGAGGGCUUGCGUUUUCACAUAAAACUUGACACAAUGCAGAAUGUUUUCUUUUUUUUGCGGUUACAUGCAAUCAAUACAACUUUCAACAACGGAUCUCUUGGCUCUCGCAUCGAUGAAGAACGCAGCGAAAUGCGAUACGUAAUGUGAAUUGCAGAAUUCAGUGAAUCAUCGAAUCUUUGAACGCACCUUGCGCCCCUUGGCAUUCCGAGGGGCACACCCGUUUGAGUGUCGUGAAAUUCUCAAAAACCCCUCUUCUUUGAUCCUUUCGGGGUUCGGAAAGGGGAUUUUUGGACUUGGAGGUUCAAUGCUCGCCUUUCACUUUUGAAAGCGAGCUCCUCUAAAAUAAAUUAGUGGGGUCCGCUUUGCCGAUCCUUGACGUGAUAAGAUGUUUCUACGUUUUGGAUUUAGCACUGUCCCUUGGAUUCCCGCUUCUAACCGUCUCACGGACAAUGGAUGGUGCUCCGGUCACUGCCGUUUAUAUCGGCGGGAGGCUGGACCCACAGAAAAAAAAAACCUUGACCUCAA
This 651-nucleotide ribosomal RNA is filed under the name uncultured fungus. RNAcentral describes it as "eukaryotic LSU rRNA". The stretch from base 204 to 357 matches the Rfam family "5.8S ribosomal RNA". Lineage: Eukaryota; Fungi. The record is from RNAcentral.